Molecule: ribosomal RNA, 329 nt
Filed under: uncultured eukaryote
Lineage: Eukaryota
Description: partial 18S ribosomal RNA
Rfam family: Eukaryotic small subunit ribosomal RNA
Source: RNAcentral
CCCUUAGAUGUUCUGGGCCGCACGCGCGCUACACUGACGAUGGCAACGAGUUUUUCCUUCGCCGAAAGGUGUGGGUAAUCUUUUGAAACAUCGUCGUGCUGGGGAUAGAUCAUUGCAAUUUUUGAUCUUGAACGAGGAAUUCCUAGUAAGCGCGAGUCAUCAGCUCGCGUUGAUUACGUACCUGCCCUUUGUACACACCGCCCGUCGCUACUACCGAUUGAAUGGUUUAGUGAGGACUCCUGAUUGGCGCCGCCGCCCCGGCAACGGAGCAGCGGACUGCCGAAAAGUUGUUCAAACUUGAUCAUUUAGAGGAAGUAAAAGUCGUAACA